UACGGAGGGAGCUAGCGUUGUUCGGAAUUACUGGGCGUAAAGCGCACGUAGGCGGCUUUGUAAGUUAGAGGUGAAAGCCCGGGGCUCAACCCCGGAAUUGCCUUUAAGACUGCAUCGCUUGAAUCCAGGAGAGGUGAGUGGAAUUCCGAGUGUAGGGGUGAAAUUCGUAGAUAUUCGGAAGAACACCAGUGGCGAAGGCGGCUCACUGGACUGGUAUUGACGCUGAGGUGCGAAAGCGUGGGGAGCAAACAGG
Molecule: ribosomal RNA, 253 nt
Filed under: uncultured bacterium
Lineage: Bacteria
Description: partial 16S ribosomal RNA
Rfam family: Bacterial small subunit ribosomal RNA
Source: RNAcentral